RNAcentral lists this ribosomal RNA (775 nucleotides) under uncultured Neocallimastigales. Its description in RNAcentral is "partial large subunit ribosomal RNA". It matches the Rfam family "Eukaryotic large subunit ribosomal RNA", at positions 23 to 645 of the family's 3401-position model. The record is from RNAcentral. Lineage: Eukaryota; Fungi; Neocallimastigomycota; Neocallimastigomycetes; Neocallimastigales.
AGAGAGAGACAUGCGCGCAUAUCAAUAAGCGGAGGAAAAGAAACUAACAAGGAUUCCCUUAGUAACGGCGAGUGAAGCGGGAAGAGCUCAAAUUUGAAAUCUUCAAGGUUUUACCUUGACGAAUUGUAGUUUAAAGAAGUGUUUUCUGCUGAAGUUUUGGUAAAAGUUCUUUGGAAUAGGACAUCAUAGAGGGUGAGAAUCCCGUAUUUGACCAUUAUUUUCAGCUUUGUGAUACACUUUCAAAGAGUCGGAUUGUUUGGGAAUGCAGUCCAAAAUGGGUGGUAAAUUUCAUCUAAAGCUAAAUAUUGGCGAGAGACCGAUAGCGAACAAGUACCGUGAGGGAAAGAUGAAAAGAACUUUGAAAAGAGAGUUAAACAGUACGUGAAAUUGUCAAAAGGGAAGCGUUUGACACCAGUGUUGUUUUCUCGAAAAUCAAUUAAAAAUGGCUCGAUUUUGUAUUGCUGAGACCUUAAAAGCUCACUGUACAUUUUUCGUGUCUUUUUUAAUGCACUUUCGUUUAACAAGUCAACAUCAGUUUCUUUUGUUGUAAAAGGGUCAUUGGAAGGUGGCUUUCUUUUCGGAGAAAGUGUUUAUAGCCUUUGGCCUCUGCAAUCGGAAGAGACUGAGGUCAUGCAGCGUAGACUCUUCGGGGUUAGAUACAUUUGUGCUAAGUUAUAGCUUUUUAUAGACAACUUGUUGACUAUAAUUAGUCUUGUAGCUUACUCGCUUAUGCUAUUUUACCUACGCUUAGGAUGUUGAAGUCAUCGUAUCGCGC